RNAcentral lists this ribosomal RNA (631 nucleotides) under Microbacterium sp. RNAcentral's name for it is "bacterial SSU rRNA". It matches the Rfam family "Bacterial small subunit ribosomal RNA", at positions 68 to 710 of the family's 1533-position model. The record is from RNAcentral. Lineage: Bacteria; Bacillati; Actinomycetota; Actinomycetes; Micrococcales; Microbacteriaceae.
GGUGAAGCAGAGCUUGCUCUGUGGAUCAGUGAGCGAACGGGUGAGUAACACGUGAGCAACCUGCCCCUGACUCUGGGAUAAGCGCUGGAAACGGCGUCUAAUACUGGAUACGAACAAGAAUCGCAUGGUUACUUGUUGGAAAGAUUUAUCGGUUGGGGAUGGGCUCGCGGCCUAUCAGCUUGUUGGUGAGGUAAUGGCUCACCAAGGCGUCGACGGGUAGCCGGCCUGAGAGGGUGACCGGCCACACUGGGACUGAGACACGGCCCAGACUCCUACGGGAGGCAGCAGUGGGGAAUAUUGCACAAUGGGCGAAAGCCUGAUGCAGCAACGCCGCGUGAGGGAUGACGGCCUUCGGGUUGUAAACCUCUUUUAGCAGGGAAGAAGCGAGAGUGACGGUACCUGCAGAAAAAGCACCGGCUAACUACGUGCCAGCAGCCGCGGUAAUACGUAGGGUGCAAGCGUUAUCCGGAAUUAUUGGGCGUAAAGAGCUCGUAGGCGGUUUGUCGCGUCUGCUGUGAAAUCUGGGGGCUCAACCCCCAGCCUGCAGUGGGUACGGGCAGACUAGAGUGCGGUAGGGGAGAUUGGAAUUCCUGGUGUAGCGGUGGAAUGCGCAGAUAUCAGGAGGAACACC